RNAcentral lists this ribosomal RNA (664 nucleotides) under Desulfovibrio sp. BBD-19. RNAcentral's name for it is "bacterial SSU rRNA". It matches the Rfam family "Bacterial small subunit ribosomal RNA", at positions 787 to 1445 of the family's 1533-position model. Lineage: Bacteria; Pseudomonadati; Thermodesulfobacteriota; Desulfovibrionia; Desulfovibrionales; Desulfovibrionaceae. The record is from RNAcentral.
UUGGUAGUCCCACNCCGUAACCGAUGGGUACUAGGUGUUGGGGGGCUUGACCCUCGGUGCCGUAGUUAACGCGUUAAGUACCCCGCCUGGGGAGUACGGUCGCAAGGCUGAAAANUCAAAGAAAAUUGACGGGGGCCCGCNCNAGCGGUGGAGUAUGUGGUUUAAUUCGAUGCAACGCAAAGACCCUUACCCAGGCUUGACAUCCUGCGAAUGCCCAAGAAAUUAGGCAGUGCCCUUCGGGGAAUGCAGUGACAGGUGCUGCAUGGCUGUCGUCAGCUCGUCCCGUGAGGUGUUGGGUUAAGUCCCGCAACGAGCGCAACCCCUAUCCUUAGUUGCCACCAGGUAAUGCUGAGCACUCUAGGGAGACUGCCCGGGUUAACCGGGAGGAAGGUGGGGACGACGUCAAGUCAUCAUGGCCCUUACGCCUGGGGCUACACACGUACUACAAUGGUGCAUACAAAGGGUUGCGAUACCGUGAGGUGGAGCUAAUCCCAUAAAGUGCAUCCCAGUCCGGAUAGGAGUCUGCAACUCGACUCCUUGAAGUCGGAAUCGCUAGUAAUCCCGGAUCAGCAUGCCGGGGUGAAUGCGUUCCCGGGCCUUGUACACACCGCCCGUCACACCACGAAAGNNGGUUAAACCCGAAACCAGUGAGCUAACCAGCAAU